GACGAACGCUGGCGGCGUGCUUAACACAUGCAAGUCGAACGGUGAAGCGCUUUCCUUUUUGGUUGGUGUGGAUGAGUGGCGAACGGGUGAGUAACACGUGAGUAACCUGCCCCCUUCUUCUGGAUAACCGCAUGAAAGUGUGGCUAAUACGGGAUAUUCUGCGCCUGCUGCAUGGUGGGUGUGGGAAAGAUUGUGCCUUUGGGUGUUUUCGGUGGGGGAUGGGGUCGCGGCCUAUCAGCUUGUUGGUGGGGUGAUGGCCUACCAAGGCGGUGACGGGUAGCCGGCCUGAGAGGGUGGACGGUCACACUGGGACUGAGACACGGCCCAGACUCCUACGGGAGGCAGCAGUGGGGAAUAUUGCACAAUGGGCGCAAGCCUGAUGCAGCGACGCCGCGUGAGGGAUGGAGGCCUUCGGGUUGUGAACCUCUUUCGCCAGUGAAGCAGGCCUGCUCCUUGUGGGUGGGUUGACGGUAGCUGGAUAAGAAGCGCCGGCUAACUACGUG
Molecule: ribosomal RNA, 503 nt
Filed under: uncultured bacterium
Lineage: Bacteria
Description: partial 16S ribosomal RNA
Rfam family: Bacterial small subunit ribosomal RNA
Source: RNAcentral